RNAcentral lists this ribosomal RNA (503 nucleotides) under uncultured bacterium. RNAcentral describes it as "bacterial SSU rRNA". It matches the Rfam family "Bacterial small subunit ribosomal RNA", at positions 28 to 502 of the family's 1533-position model. The record is from RNAcentral.
GACGAACGCUGGCGGCGUGCCUAAUACAUGCAAGUCGAACGCUUCUUUCCUCCCGAGUGCUUGCACUCAAUUGGAAAGAGGAGUGGCGGACGGGUGAGUAACACGUGGGUAACCUACCCAUCAGAGGGGGAUAACACUUGGAAACAGGUGCUAAUACCGCAUAACAGUUUAUGCCGCAUGGCAUAAGAGUGAAAGGCGCUUUCGGGUGUCGCUGAUGGAUGGACCCGCGGUGCAUUAGCUAGUUGGUGAGGUAACGGCUCACCAAGGCCACGAUGCAUAGCCGACCUGAGAGGGUGAUCGGCCACACUGGGACUGAGACACGGCCCAGACUCCUACGGGAGGCAGCAGUAGGGAAUCUUCGGCAAUGGACGAAAGUCUGACCGAGCAACGCCGCGUGAGUGAAGAAGGUUUUCGGAUCGUAAAACUCUGUUGUUAGAGAAGAACAAGGACGUUAGUAACUGAACGUCCCCUGACGGUAUCUAACCAGAAAGCMCGWWWUUUYC